CAUGCAGUCGAGCGAGAAGCUUCCUGCUUGCAGGAGGUGGACAGCGGCGUAAGGGAGAGUAACGCGUAGUUACUUGCCCCAGGGUCCGGGAUAGCGGCGGGAAACUGCCGGUAAUACCGGAUGAUAUCUGUGUCCUUCAAAAGAUGGGGAUCAAAGGUGUGAUUCCGCCCUGGGAGAGGACUGCGUCCUAUUAGCUUGUUGGUGGGGUAACGGCCUACCAAGGCAUUGAUGGGUACCGGGUGUGAGAGCAUGGCCCGGCUCACUGGGACUGAGACACUGCCCAGACACCUACGGGUGGCUGCAGUCGAGAAUCUUCGGCAAUGCGCGAAAGCGUGACCGAGCGACACCGCGUGCGGGAUGAAGGCUUUCGGGUUGUAAACCGCUGUCAGAGGGGAGGAAAUCUAUGGGGGCUAUCCCCCAUAGUUGACCUAUCCUCAGAGGAAGGACGGGCUAAGUUCGUGCCAGCAGCCGCGGUAACACGAACCGUCCAAACGUUAUUCGGAAUUAUUGGGCUUAAAGGGUGCGUAGGCGGUGCAGUAAGUUGGGUGUGAAAUCCCUCGGCUCAACCGAGGAACUGCGCUCAAUACUGCUGCACUCGAGGGAGACAGAGGUAAGCGGAACUGAUGGUGGAGCGGUGAAAUGCGUUGAUA
This 650-nucleotide ribosomal RNA is filed under the name uncultured bacterium. RNAcentral describes it as "bacterial SSU rRNA". It matches the Rfam family "Bacterial small subunit ribosomal RNA", at positions 54 to 696 of the family's 1533-position model. The record is from RNAcentral.